Molecule: ribosomal RNA, 416 nt
Filed under: Echinanthera undulata
Lineage: Eukaryota; Metazoa; Chordata; Lepidosauria; Squamata; Dipsadidae
Description: partial small subunit ribosomal RNA
Source: RNAcentral
ACCCUACUAUACCCAGCCAUAACAAAACAAUCAAAUCAACCAAUUGUUCGCCAAAUAACUACGAGUAUAAACUUAAAAUUUAAAAGACUUGACGGUACUUCAUAACAACCUAGAGGAGCCUGUCUAAUAACCGAUACCCCACGAUUAACCCGACCCGCCCUAGCCCCACAGUCUAUAUACCGCCGUCGCCAGCUUACCUUGUGAAAGAAAUAAAAUAAGCACAAUAGACCACCUCUAAAACGACAGGUCGAGGUGUAACUAAUGGACGGGUAAAAGAUGGGCUACAUUUUCUAACACAGAAAACACGAAUAAACUAUGAAACUAGAAACCGAAGGCGGAUUUAGCAGUAUUUUAAGAAUAAAACGCUUAACUGAAACCAACGCAAUGAAGUGUGUACACACCGCCCGUCAUCCCUG